Molecule: small nucleolar RNA, 149 nt
Organism: Telopea speciosissima
Lineage: Eukaryota; Viridiplantae; Streptophyta; Magnoliopsida; Proteales; Proteaceae
Product: small nucleolar RNA F1/F2/snoR5a
Exons: 1
Source: RefSeq, a predicted model, not a curated record
CAAUGCCUGAGGUAUCUGAUGCCCCGACUGAUUAUUUCUGUGUCUGGGCAUCUCGUUUAGAGGGCAUAAACUAAAUUGUAAAACAGGUCUUGCGACACAGAUUGCCUCACCCUUAUGAGCUUUCUGUUACUUUAACCCUGUUCACAUUG